UUGCAGAGGGCAGCGGAGCAUCUGCAGGAAGCGGACCUGCACAAUCUAGCUGUUUCGCUUUGCAGUGCAGACGAGGAGCGCUCUUGUAAUGUUGGAGGAGCAGUCAUACUGAGAUUGGUCAGAUGAGAGAUCGGCCAACCUGUGGCAGAGACCAAGGAAGGAACAGCCACCCAGAGCCCAUCCCUAGGGAUGGAAGCCAGACAAUGAUCUGCAGAUACCACGGAGAAAGAAGUGAAGGGUAAGAGCCCACCCCCGUCGUGAGAUGGAAAGCACCAAGAGCCGUGAGACCACAAGCGUUGUCGAUGCCAGCCUAUGGUGAUGCCAUCGAUCUGGAAGUGGAGCAGCCGUCACCAUCAGUGAGAUAAGUGUCUGGUUUGGGGAGGACUCCGGUAACGGCCCACCUGCCUCCAGGCUGAGACUUGUCAUUAGCUGGGGCUCGGUUUGUAGGGAAAGAUUCCUGACCUGCUGUGGUUACGAGGGAGACAAGGUCCCCAUUUUCAGGGGCAGGUCUUUUCUCUGUCCACAAACAGUGUGUCCUACGCAGCCGAAGGUUGGAUCGAGGAGGAUGACUCCAGCUGUUGAGUUUCUUGACUCCAUCCCACAUUUUUCUCUCUCUCUCCCCUAAUGUGUUGGCCAACACACACUGUCUCUCUCUCUCUCUCUCUGUCCUUG
This is a long non-coding RNA of Mauremys mutica (yellowpond turtle), 672 nucleotides long. RefSeq lists it as uncharacterized. Lineage: Eukaryota; Metazoa; Chordata; Testudines; Geoemydidae. The record is from RefSeq and is a predicted model, not a curated record. The transcript has 3 exons.